CUGCCACGCGCCCCCGCCCAGGAUCCGAGGCCUGGGGCAUCUGAAUGAGGACCCUCCACCCACAUUUCCACUUGGGAGCGAGCUCCAGUCGGGGAAAGGGCCUGCAGCCCGCCUCGUCCCCACCCUGGGACCCCGCGCCCCCCAGUCCCCCACUCCCGCGCCGAAGGCAGGGCCGCGCCCUGAGCCGGGAAGUCGAGGGGAUGGAAGGGAAAGGAGCCACCGGUGAGGGUCCCCCGGGUUCUGAGCCUCCCGCGUCGGGAUCCGUGGGGCGCACAGAGCGCCACCUCCGGCCGAGGCGCAGCUCAGAGCGCGAUGCGGGGGAGGAACGCGCGCGGAGGCCGAGGUCUGAGCGUGGCUAGACGGCUCCCACGCCGAGAAAGGGCGGGUGCGCCUGGGCUGGAUGGAUUUCGCCUCCCUAGACCAGGAGGGAUUGGACCCUGACUACAGGUCCAGGUGCUCGUCAGUGCCCUGCCAGGGGGUCUACGCGUCCUGGUACCGGGUCCAGCGGGGUGGCGUGCUGUGCAGACCCCGAGGCUAGACGGCCUAGGCCCCUGGAGCCCAGGAGACGCUUCCUUGGGUGAGCAGCGGAGAAUCCCGCCCGGCCCAGCCGUCACCCCCAACCCUGUCGAUUAAACCCCUGCCCCCGUCGCGGUCGCCCUCCCUCCAGACAAAGGCCGUUAAGGCGCAGCCCCGCGGGCGGUCUUUCAUCCCCAGCUAGGCCAGCUCUAGCAUUUCAAAGGCCGAAUCCGGAGAGCGCUUCGGGGGCUCUCCCCUUCCCCCAAAUAUUUGGGGAGCGACGCCUCUCCCUCCGCUCCCAGUGGGUCGCGUCUACACGCGCCCUUCCACACACCUGCAGGCCCCCUCCCCACGUCUCUCCCUUCCGUUGGCCGCAGCCCCACACCACGACCCCCGCGGUCAAGCAUGCCCUCUGGGUGGUCAGGACCAAGCGGGACCGGGACAGAACCAGGGGAGCCUUGGAAACGUGGAGGAGCCCCUUAAAGCCAGGCCUUGUCCCUCCAGGGGGAACUUGCGGCUUGGGAGGGGACACCCACUGCAUGGCUUCUGGAAAGAGCCGGACUCGCAGGGCCAGGACGCAGGCCGGACCCCGGCCUCAUUCUUCGGCCAGUUAUCCCGGAGUGGCGCGCAUCCUGUCUUCCUGGGCCUCGGACUGCUCGCGCGCAGAGGGGGCCCGAGGACACCUCUGUGGGGUUAGAGGACUCGCGGCCGCGCGAGGGAGGCGAAAACUUGUGCAGCCGCGCGACAGCCGCCUUCUGGGGAGACUCGGGGCACGACGCACCCGGCGUGGGACUGGGACCCCCCUGCCCGGCCCCGCCACAUUCUCCGCCGGAUCCCCGGAAGACACAAGGAGACGUGGACCCCCACAGGCUUUUUUGGGGGGAUUGGGCGUUGAAACCGCAGGGCUGACUUAACCAAGAGGUCACCGACUUGGAUAAAAAACCCACGCCCGCGCGGACCCCCCUCCCCGGCCUUCGUUUCCAUUCAAACUCCCAGCGUCCUCAUUGCAGCCCCUGGGGAGGGGGACGGAGGGACGAGGUGGGUUUCAGGUGCUCGGCCCAGGAGGGGACGGUGCGACCCGGGCCCCGCCGGCGGGUUUUGCGCGCGGAGGCUGCGGCACCUGCCCCGCCCGCCCUGCCGCGAUCCUUGCAGACGGGGGCGGUCACAUGCUUCUUUCUGGCCAGGAAUCGAGUUUCACUUCCAGCCGCUAUUAGUCGGUUCACACAGUUCACUGCAAACAUUUGAUAAUGAGGCUAAAUAUACUCCCGCGUCGGAGGAGGCGUGGGCGUCCCCGCCCAGGCCCGGGAGACAGAGGCGCUGACCCCGGGACAGAGCCUGGCUUUGUGCGGGAGGCAGACGCGCCCCGCGCGCCGCCCCCGAAACAUUCGCACCCCAUGCUGAGGCGCGCGUCUGGGAGUCCGUGGGCGCCCCGAGGUGAGCCCGGGGCCCCUGGCGGAAGCAGCGGGGAGCUCCCGGCGGGUGCGGGGAGGUGCUGGUGGGAAGCAAGGUGCACCUGGCGGCCUGGGAUGUCCGGUCGCCCCCGGAGCCGGUGCAUCCGGCCUCUCCCGGCGCGCCCCGACGUGCCCGCGGGCUCAUAAUUACCGUGAGUCAGGUGCCCCAAAUAGGCCGAGCGAGGGGGGCCGUCGCGCAGCAGGGGCGGGUGGCCGGACGUCUGCCCGGGACUGGUUGCCUCCCGCCCCUCCCCAAGACCCUGGCACCCAGGGAGGGCGGGAAAGGCCUUGGCCAUUCCUCUGGGUAGGGGACUGGAGAGGGGAAGAAACUUUCGCCGAGUCCAGCGCUGCCCCCUCAUACCCAUCCCCACCCAGGCUGCGUGUCCGGGGCCCCUCCGGGGCUUGGCACCAGCAGGCACGCAGCGAUCGCCGUCGUUGUUAUUUAGUAGUAGUAGUAACGGCUGACAUUUACAGCGACGUCGAUGGCGCCAGGUGCCAAGCUCUUUCCUUGUAUAAUUUCAUGGACACUCACGCAUCAACUCUAAGCGAAGACUUGGAGCGGGGCUCAGCACCCCAGGGGUACCUCUGCAACCUCGGUAAAUAUAGACUAUCCUCAAUUCGCAGGGGCAUUUGUACGUGGGGUGUACAGGCAGGAACAGGAAAGACGCUGUGGCCACCCAGGAGUAGGGGCGGCAGCCAACACCCCCUGGAUCCCCAGUUCCAAGGUGCAGGGAGGGGGGCAGAGGCCAGUUCCCUCCGCUCUCUGCCCCUUGACCUUGGCCUUGGUGAGCUCUGUCCCUAGACUGCCCUGGGUGUCUGUUCCCUCAUCUGAAAAGCGUGAGGCCCACAGCCGUCACUGCACACAGCUGCCGUCACUGCACACAGCUGCCUCCACUGUCGGGAAGCCUCCCUCCUGCCCACCUGCCCAGGAAAAGCUGCGCUAGCGUGCCCUGGGCAAGCGCCCUGCUGGCCACCUGCCUGCACCUGGGUUGGGGGUGGGGGGACCAGCUGAGCACCCAAAUCCUGGCCUCUGCCCCCAGCGCCAGAGCAGAUUUCAGAACAAUUUGUAAUGACGAAACCCCACGUUUCCCUUUAUCUCUGGGCAAGGCUUUCUUCGUCCUAGGCAAUUAAUCCAAAAGCAACACCAGCCGAGUGGGCUGGACUCCUUGAAGAUCAAAACUGCCCAGCGCAGGCAUUAAUUAAGUCAUUAUCUCAGGCCCCCAGCGACUAGGGAUCAGGCCUUUCCAGUUCACACUCUCCAGAAAGGGAGAUAACUGCCCCGCCAGCAGGGUGGGAAGGCUCUCUCUCCAUGUUGUUUUAACUCCCUAUUAAAUCAUUUUAUUUUAAAUACACAAACAGAAAUGAAGUUGAAAAUAGCACAGGAGCCCACUAUCACUGUGUGAACAUUUUGUGAAUGAAGACAUGUAUGAAAGGAUGUUUGGAGGCUUCAAGAAACGAAAGCCGAGAGUCUAGCUAGACCAGAGCCAUCCAGCCCAGGAGCGAUGGCCACGUGUGGCCGCUGGACACGAGAGACGUGGCCAGUCCAAACUGUGCAGUGCGGGGCAGUGGAAGCCGUUGGAGGGCCUCAGGCAGGAACACAAGGUGUCGUGGCAGAAAGGAAGAAGGGGCCGGGCACGGUGGCCCACACCCGUCAUCCCAGCACUUUGGGAGGGAGGCCAAGGCAGGAGGAUCGCUUCAAUCCAGGAGUUCAAGAUCAGCCUGGGCAACACAGCAAGACCCCGUCUCUACUAAAACCCUAAAACUUAGCCAGGCUUGGUGGCAUGUGCCUAAGGUCCCAGGUCCUCGGGAGACUAAGGCAGGAGGAUUGCUUAAGCCCAAGAGUUUGAGGCUGCAGUGAACUAUUAUCACACCACUGCACUCAGCCUGGGUGACAGAGUGACUCUGUCUCAAAACUAAAUAAAUAAACAAUAAUUGUGUU
Molecule: long non-coding RNA, 3906 nt
Filed under: Homo sapiens (human)
Lineage: Eukaryota; Metazoa; Chordata; Mammalia; Primates; Hominidae
Description: PREDICTED lncRNA (TCONS_00234961)
Source: RNAcentral